AUAUGAUAUGAUGUUAAGAUCAGGUAAUUAUACUUCAAUCCUAAGUGAUACUACUUUGAUGGGUAGUGGAAAUCUGUGACAGAAAAAUGGCAUUUUUUGAGUUAUUGUUAUGUCUGUAGAGCAUAUGAACUAAACUAGGCCAUGGAAUCUCCAUGUCUUGUGCUUCAAAUGAAGGCUGGAUGAAAAUACCUCAUUCUGAUAUUCUGACUAGAAUGUUUGAAAAUUUACUAGUUCCCACUGAAAUGCAGUGAGCUGUGGCUCCUAUUUUUGCCAUUUCUUAAAACAAAAAAAGAAAAGAAAGCAAAAAAACACCCAACAAAACCUCAAAAAAAAUGAAAAACUGUACAUAAUUUGGCUUGUGAUUAGGCAAUUUUGGUUGUAUGUUAUUAGUGAUCAGUCAGAUAAUGUAGAGUUUUAAUUCACUUUGCCUGAUUUCUUCAUAUCGAGCGCAUCUCGAGAUUUGUCUUCAUGUACUUACUGUUCUCAUUGCAUGGAGAAGGAAGAGAAAAUGGCAAAGGAAGCAGUAGGUGUGAGGCAGAUAUUGUUGCAAUUGCAUCUGAAUCAGCUCCUGCUCGUGGUGGUGAGGCUUUGUACUCCCUUGGCCAGAGCAGGAGAAGCUGAUGCAGUCUGAAAAGGGAACAGAGCUGUAAACCUAAGAGCAAAAAGGGACUAGUGGAAUCAAGAAAUGUGGGUAGAUAAUUGUUUCUACCUUGUCUGAAAUCCUACCCAAGAACUUGCCUUUCAAUCUAACAGUUUCUCCAUCCUGAUCUACACUUUUUUGUAGCAGUAUCCUUUGACCUGUAUGCCAAGCCAGGUAACAACAGGACUCUAACUCUGAUGAAUCCCAAAAAGUCUUUUUAUCAAUGGAGACUGAGAGUUCCUUCUAAUUACGUGGUGAGACUGGUAGUUAUCACUCAGCAUGGUGUCACUCCAGAGAGCUGUGCAUCACACCACUUGUCAGCAUAUGAUUUCCUUCUUCCACUGAAGAACAAGAUCAUCACCAGAUGGUGUGGGCCUGGGGCCUGGACUCCUUCUGUUGUGCGUUUGACUUCAUCGAGUAAUGUGAUGUUGCUUACCUUCUCACUGGAUCAAAGAGGAGAAAGCAAUAUAUUAAAAGCUCACUUUCAAGCUGUUCCUAAAAUCAGUAUGUAGCAUCUGAUGGAAGGACACUUAUUACUGGUUUUGCCUCUAAAAAAGUUGAUAUUGUCUUGAAUAUAUCU
RNAcentral lists this long non-coding RNA (1220 nucleotides) under Lonchura striata (white-rumped munia). Its description in RNAcentral is "domestica (Bengalese finch) lncRNA (ENSLSDG00000002205.1)". The record is from RNAcentral. Lineage: Eukaryota; Metazoa; Chordata; Aves; Passeriformes; Estrildidae.